RNAcentral lists this long non-coding RNA (3100 nucleotides) under Monomorium pharaonis (pharaoh ant). Its description in RNAcentral is "uncharacterized LOC118644400". Lineage: Eukaryota; Metazoa; Arthropoda; Insecta; Hymenoptera; Formicidae. The record is from RNAcentral.
AUGUCAUAUAGCACUUACAUAUCACAAGAAUAACAAUGUUAAAUUACUUGUAACUUCCAUGUUAUAUUGCCGCUAUAAAAUGUGUUCACUGGGUGAGUAUUCUCACGCGUCCGCUAUUUUUCUUCAAACUAGUCAAGUAACUAGCAUGAUGUUUUAUAUAUAUAUAUAUAUAUAUAAUACAUGUAUAAUACACAAUAACUUUUACAGUCUCAAGAUCAUAAAUAUCGUGUCUUCGUUUUAUUGUCGCAUAAAGUUUGGCGUUUCCAAAUAUUAUUGACGUAUAUAUGUACAAAACAUACCUAACUUUUUAUGCUAGUUACUUGCUAGUUUGAAGAAAAAUGGCGAACGUGAGAAUACCUACUUUUCUAGUGCUCCAGUAGCAGUGCAGCUAAAAAAACGGGCCUCAAUUCACCACCGUGAAACUCGCCGCGAAUUAACCAUUACCUCGACAGGCGGACUCGACCGCCAGUCAAGACACGUAAUUCCUCUUUCUGUUCUUCCGCGGACACGACAUGCACUGUAUGUCAAUUCUCGUGCGCCUGUCACGUUCAUAACCAUCUUUCGCGCGAAAAGCAAAAGUACAAAUCUCCAUCAUCUGUCCCAGGCGACAACAAUAAUAAUGACACUACGACGACGUUUCUUAAAUAUUUUACUCUUGAUGCGAAACUUUAAAUCGCGUUAUCUUCACUCGUAAGUUACGUAGCAGAAAAAUAAAAACACUUUUGUUAUAUAAAUCGUAUGCAAGCUAUCCAUUAAGAUUAUUUAGAAAUCAAUCGAUUCAGUCGUUAUUGAGAUCCGAUAAUUUACGGAAUCUCGCAACAGCGUUUCGCUUAAAUAGAACUCUUGAUAGAAACACGGCAGUGCUUCGCGCGCGUACACUUGGCGCAAAGCACUACCGUGCACCGUACCUCUUGAUAUCACUUAAUAUAAGAUUUGUAUCACAUAUUCGCAAUAAACAAUAAUUUAAUUGUUGGUAAGGACUUUUAUAUAAAAUGUUAUAGACGGUUAAUAAUGUUCUUAACAUUAAAGUUGAUUGCCAUGCACGAACUUCCCUUUAUCGUAAAACCUACAUACAACUUUAUAGAAUUUGUAUGAGGUAGUUUAUAAUAAAGAAUGAUUUAAUCAUUAAUAAGAUUUUUUAUAUAUAAUAUAGUGGACAGUACAUCACGUUUUUCAUAUCAACCUUUAUUAUUGACCAUAAACUCGCAUUUAUCGUAAGACGCGAUUACAACUUAAUAUGAUUUUUAUGAGAUACUUGCAAUAAACAAUAAUUUAAUCGUUGGUAAGGGCUUUUAUGUAAAAUGUUAUAGACGGUCAAUAAUGUUUUUCACAUUAAACUUGAUUGCUAUGCACAAACUUCCCUUUAUCGUAAAACCCACUUUAUAGGAUUUGUAUGAGGUAGUUUAUAAUAAAGAAUGAUUUAAUCAUUAAUAAGAUUUUUCAUGUGUAUUAUAGUGGACAGUAUAUCACGUUUUUCAUAUCAACCUUCAUUGUUGAGGCCAAAUUCGCCUUUAUCGUAAGAAACGAAUAGAACUUAAUAGGAUUUGUAUGACAUAGUCUCCAUAAACUAUGAUGUAAUUUUCAAAGUGGAUUUUCAUAUAUUAUACAAUAUGAUAAUCAGUAAAUUAUGUUUUCAAUAUUAACCUUAAUUACUGAGUACGAAAUUUCCUUUAUUAUAAAUCCCGAAUGCAACCUGAUAGGUUGUGUAUGGUAUAGUCGUGAUAAACAAUCAGAUAAUCAUGAUAGAAUUACAAAACUGGUCAAACAUGAUUGAACAUGAUAGAAAUUCUAUCAUUGCUCGAAAAGCUCUUGAUAGAACUGGAUACAGCUAUAUAAGUUAUUAUUGAUUUUGAAUAAUGUUUUAUACAGUUGUAUCUUUUUUCUUGAACAGGGUUAAGAUGCUAAUACGAUUCUGUUGUGAUUGGCUGCUGGCAUCUUAAGAUAGUACUUAAAAUAAUCUUAAAUAUAAGAUCUGACUAUGAAUAUCAGCCAAAGACGUAUAGAUGAUCCUUGGAGAUCCAUAUAAACAUAUCACCGACAUUGCAGCCUCUGACCAUGUCAUCGGCAGGCCAGCUGGGUGACAUAGUUUGUAUUGUUUCAGACAAGAUUUCAUGCUUUUUACCUAUUUCAAUACAUUGCAAAAAAAUAAACCAUUCAUUUUAUUUUAUCUUUUUUUUUCAACUACGUUAUAUUUGGUACCUUUGAGUAAAUAUAUUCUGUUGGCUACACUGUUAUUUCCGACCUUUGAUUCUAAUUAUCUAUAUGUAUAAGUACCGGGAGUCUGUAUGUCCGGAUGUUCCCCAACUCCUUCGUCAUUUGUGGCCCGAUUCCAACGCAAAAGGUCUCAUUUUGUUCCAAAUUGUGUGAGGAUUGCUCUUAUGGGUUUGGUUUUUUGAUAUACAGGAUUUUUCAAAAAUUUUUUUUAUAAAAACCGGGCGUCCGUGUGUCCGUAUUUUUUUAAUUUUCGCGCACUCUUUCGUCAUUUGUGGCCCGAUUCUAAUGCAAAAGGUCUCAUUUUAUUCCAAAUUUUACGAGGAUUGCUACUAUGGGUUUGGAUUUUCAAUAUACAGGGUCUUUCAAAAAUUUUCUUUAUAAAAAUCGUAAGUUUGUUGGUUCGUAUUUUAUGUGUUCGCGAACUCCUUCGUCAUUUGUGGCCUGAAUCUUUUGAAAAAGGUCUCAUUUUAUUCAUGUUUACUUAAAGGAAAUUAAAAGGUAAAAAAAUUCGUAUUUGUAUAAUAAGAAUCAUAGAAUGAAAAAAGUUAUUAAAAUAGGUGUGAAACACAUUUUUAUUCAUUAAAAAAAUAAAAGCUUUUGCUACAAUUAGGAAAAUUAUUAGGAACGAUUGAUAAUUACGAUUAAUUACGAAAUUAGUAUUUAAAGAAAAAAAAAACCCAAAAAAGACAAUUAGAAUAUUUUUUAAUAUUUAUAAAUUUAUUUAUACAAUAAAUUUUUUAAAAUAUAAUAUAAAUAUAUAUUUGCAUUUUAGCAAAAAAUAAAAAGUAUUCUAAUUUAGAAGAUUGUUAGGCAAUUUAAUAAUUACAGAAAGUGGGGAAAUUUUUAUAAAUAUAUAAUAAAUAUAUAAAAAAUAUAUAUAAAAAAA